GAUGAACGCUAGCGAUAGGCUUAACACAUGCAAGUCGAGGGGCAGCACAAGGUAGCUUGCUUUCUGGGUGGCGACCGGCGCACGGGUGCGUAACGCGUAUGCAACUUGCCCUAUACAGGAGGAUAACCCGUCGAAAGACGGACUAAUACUGCGUAUGCUCACAACUUGGCAUCAAGUGGUGAGGAAAGAAAUUCGGUAUAGGAUAGGCAUGCGUCCCAUUAGCUUGUUGGUGAGGUAACGGCUCACCAAGGCAACGAUGGGUAGGGGAACUGAGAGGUUUAUCCCCCACACUGGUACUGAGACACGGACCAGACUCCUACGGGAGGCAGCAGUGAGGAAUAUUGGUCAAUGGGCGCGAGCCUGAACCAGCCAAGUCGCGUGAAGGAGGACUGUCUUAUGGAUUGUAAACUUCUUUUAUACGGGAAUAACAAGAGUCACGUGUGACUCCCUGCAGGUACCGUAUGAAUAAGCAUCGGCUAACUCCGUG
Molecule: ribosomal RNA, 487 nt
Filed under: uncultured bacterium
Lineage: Bacteria
Description: partial 16S ribosomal RNA
Rfam family: Bacterial small subunit ribosomal RNA
Source: RNAcentral